GACAGAGGCCCCAAGCGUUAGGCGGAAUCACUGGGCUUAAAGCGUGUGUAGGCGGAUCGUUAAGUGUCUUGUGAAAUCCCACGGCUCACCCGUGGAACUGCUGGGCAUACUGGCGAUCUUGGGCCAACUAGGGGCAGUCGGAACAAGCGGUGGAGCGGUGAAAUGCGUAGAUAUUCGGAAGAACACCGGUGGCGAAGGCGGCAUUCUGGACCGAUAUUGACGCUGAGGAGCGAAAGCCAGGGGAGCAAACGGG
Molecule: ribosomal RNA, 253 nt
Filed under: uncultured bacterium
Lineage: Bacteria
Description: partial 16S ribosomal RNA
Rfam family: Bacterial small subunit ribosomal RNA
Source: RNAcentral